CAAUCUGUGGCAACUAUCAUUUCUUAUUCUUGCUCAGCCCAUGAAUGGCAAUCCUUGUCAAGCAUCCCAUCUACAUAGGAAAUAUGUAGAACGAUGUUUAAACUGAAUCCUAACAAGAGUCCUGGUCCAGAUGGCUUAACCUCAGGGUUCUAUAAGGCAGCUUGGGGUAUAAUACUAGGGAUCGAAGUUGCUGGAUCUAUCCAAAAAAAUUUCGCUUCUCCAGAGAUGCCAACAUCUAUCAACUCGACCAUCCUCACGCUAGUUCCAAAGUUCUCUGGUGCCACCUCGAUUAACGAUUAUAGACCAAUAUCUUGUUGUAACACUAUUUACAAGACUAUUUCGAAACUUUUAGUUGCAAGGAUCAAGCCUCUACUUCCUAAAAAUAUGAGACACACUUAUGUUUAUUUCCUCUAAAAUUCAGUACAAAGUAUGGAUCUUUGUAUACUCACAAGAACGUCAGCUCGUGAAGCAAUGUCUGAUCCAACUUUGAGUUCAUCGGAUCGUUUGUUGAUAAGGUUAAUGUUCUUAGUCAUCCCAUUCUUAUGCAAAACCUUCCUCAUAAGCUUAACCAUCGGUAAGUAGGACUCACACGCCGUCACCAUUCCUUUUGAAUCACCAGACUCUUCUUCUUCUCCUCUCAUUGCUCUCACAGCCAUCAUCGAUAGCAACCCAGUUCCAGCACUAGACACACACAAAUUCCACAUUCUCCAUAUCAAAAUCUGAGUGUUUAAACCAAGAAUUGAAUCAAGUUUAUGGAAAUGAGAAUACGAACCCAAUGUCAAGGACGUGGCAAGGUUCAGUGAUGGUUUUCUCGAUAGCGAGACGAUAAGCUCUGUUGCGGCGAGAAUCAUUAAGCAUGUCGAGAUACGACGUCGUGGCGAGGAGGCCGUCAGUGGAAGUUCCGGGUUGGUCAUUGUCUUCGAUGACAAUCCACUCGGAAUUGCCGGUGAGAGGGUCUUGUCUGAGCUGGAAGACGCGUUGACUAGACUGAGAGCUCAUGGUUCGAGCAGCGACGGAGCUUCUUAGGCGAGUCACUGAGUGGCACCGGAAGGAGAUAAAGGUUUUGGGAAGAAGAAGAGAAAACAGAGACGACAUUAACGGAAGAGCUCUUUAAGGUUUUUUUUAGUCGUCGUUAGUCGUGAUAAGAGACUUUCCGGUGAUUGUUUAUGUUUAUUGUUUAUUUAGGCCCUCUUUAUUUUCUUUUUAUUGCAAAUGAACCCCAGAGUUUUGAAAAUUUAAGUACAAGUAAAACAAUCCCAACUCUGUGAUGCCAACAAGUGGCACAACGUAAUUGGAUAAAUGAUUUUAUACUAAAAAAUUAGGGCAUAAAAUAAAUUAUUCUUUUAACUAACUAUUGUGAUCUACUAUUUUUAAAAAUUUAAUGUAAUUUAUUAUGAUUGUGCACCAUAACUAUCUUUAACGAAAAUCAAUUAAUGCUCUUGAAAUACAAUAUUUGUUGAAAAUAUAUACAUAUAUUACAGUAGAAAGACAAAUAAAACAUUUCUAAGAAGUUAUACAGAUAUUAAAAACAUAAAUAUAAAAAGUAAAAUACAAAAAUUGACCAUACAAUACAUUUAUAUUGUAAGAGUAAUCAAAUAGUAAAAUAAAUAUUACAAAAAUUCAAGCAAAGACAAAAUACCAUAUCCUAGAAGCCUUUCUAUCAAUUAUACUUAUAUUAAAACAAAAUUAAUUUAUAAAAAAAGAUAAAUGAAAAGAAGUUUUGGCCGUCAGUUGGAAUUGGUUAUCCGGCGGCAUAGCGCGAGUUUUGUAUCUAGUAAAUUUUAAAGACCAUCAUGGAAAUGAAUUAUAAUAACAUUAUAUGAAUUAUAUUUUAAUCUAAUAUCUUGAUUUGUUGAAUAUGUUAAUCCAAAUGGACAGAUAAACUAAAAAGAACUUACAAUUUGACCAGUUUCUUGAAGAAAAUAAAUUUCACAACUACAUAAAAAGUGAAAAACAAAUUAAGUACAUGUAAAAGAUUUUUUGACAAGUGAUAACUCUCUCUUAAAGGUGCGUGCAGAGCCGGUCCAAACGGCCGAGUUUCAAAGCUGCUAAAAACUUGCUGGUAUGUAAAGAAUCAUUCCUCUACCCUCUACGAUCUACACUUUAAACACAUUACUUGCAAUUUUUUUCUUCUUUUCUUUUUGAAGUGGACAUGCUAAUUUCGUUUAUCUUUGGUGGGACUUUGAAAAUAAUGAUAUUGAAGAUAGCCAAGUUGUUAGUUUAGUUAAGCGCAUAGAGGCUUGUCUUCGUUUAAUAGACCCUUCUCUAAGCUUAAGACUAUGGGUUUCCUUAGAAGGAUACACCGAGGCAUUCACUUACAUGCCCCAAGUGUAAGGAGAUAAACCCAUUUGUUAGACCAUUUCAGACUUCAUCUUACAUCACAAAACCUUAUAAGUGUAUGAAGGAGAUUGCUGAUUGCAUGAUUGUACAAGGUCUCAUAAAACAUGUAUCUAUGGAUACUGGAUCCAAGAAUGUUGCGCUUCUUUCGGGUGAUGGGGACUUUUCUUUACCGUUGAAUUCUCUUAGAAGACAUGGCUACAAAGUUUUUCUAUUCCAGAAAGAAGAUUCAAAGUAGGAGCUUAAAGUUAGUGCAUCUUACACAUGGGUGUUGCAGAAUAUCUUCUAAAAUAAUAUUGAUUAUCCACGCAUAAUUUACCGGAUCUCGGUAAUUUAGUGAAUUUUAGUUAGUUUUUAGGUUUUGUCUUCUGAUAUUUUAUUAUAUGAUUUUUAAUAGUCGUUUUUUGUUAAUCAAGGAUAAGUUUCUAAUAUAUGUUAUCAGGUUUACAUUAUUUGUCUAUUGUGGUUUGUUGUAUGAUUUACAUGGUUCUCAAGUCUUCAUUAACGACAUGUUCUUAAUCGGAUAACAUAUGCUUUAACUUUCCUACCAAAAAAAAAAACAUUUGCUUUAACUUUCCUACCAAAAAAAAAACAUAUGCUUUAACUUUGUUAUGGAAAUGAGAAGAACCCGCUCACCAAAAAAAAAAAGAAAGUUGUGUGAUACCAAAUAAACUCUCUAAUCCAGGAGGAACUAGCCGGACACCAUAGGCCCUCAUUGUUUUAUUUGUAUUGCAAAUUAUACCCAUACUUUUGAAAAUUAAGACAAGUAAGACUGUACUAAAUCGGAACUUAUAGGAAUUAAGGGGUAAACUCAGGAAUACAAAAUAUUUGUGGGGUUAAAAAUGAAAAGAUCCAAAUUUUUAGUUUCGGAGAAAAAAAGAGUUCUUUGGCCGGAGAACAACUUUCCCAUUUCCACAACUUCGAAAUCGAAAUCCAUCCAAACGUAAGAAUAAUGGCGGGAGCGAAUCAGGCGUGUAUCUUCUGUGAGAUCGUGCGAAAUCCAACCACCACUCGUCUCCUUCACACCGUUACCUUCUUCUUCCCUUCUCUUGUUGUUUGGAUCAUCAUCAGAGGCUAAAAUUGAAGAAGUUCUCUUACGUCUGCGAUUAUCUUUUUUUCAGGAUGAGAAAGUCAUCGCCUUUCAAGAUAUCAAACCUGCCGCCCAGAGGUUCGUGUCUCUGUUCACUCACUUUGCUUCUAUCGAUUUUUGUGAAUUGAGUUUGAUUCCGUUUUACUUAAGCUUUGUCUACUGUAAUCAAUUUGCAUCUCCUUGCUUAAUUGGCUACCAUUUACUAGUAUUUAUGAACAAAGCACUAAUGAUGUAGGCACUAUUUGGUGAUUCCAAAAGAACACAUUCCUACUGUGAAUGACCUUGAGAUAAGAGAUGAAGACUACUCACUUGGUUGGUUAGCUAAACAUAUUUAUACAUCGUUUUCUGUUAUACCUAUGUGAAGUUUCGAUAAGGAUGUUAGUUUUAUGAUUUGAACAGUAAGACACAUGCUUAAUGUGGGACAAGAACUGUUGCAGAAAGAUGCUCCUCAAAACAUUCAUAGGUGAGGUUUCUUGCUUACAAACACUAAAUGAAACCAAUUAUGAAUAAACCUGAUCUGUACUUUCUUACAGAUUUGGUUUUCACCAGCCGCCAUUUAACAGUGUUGAUCAUCUACAUCUCCACUGUUUUGCAUUGCCUUAUGUGCCCAGGUACAGAUAUGCUUCAUACUCGUUGAUCUUUCUUGGGAAAUUCUUUGCAUCUCUCUUACUUUCCCAUGAUUUAAAACAUUGAAUAAGUUUUCUUAACAUAUACUGUAUAACAGAUGGAAAGCCAUCAAGUACAAGUCUUUGGGACCUUUGGGUGGAUUUAUUGAAGCAGAGACACUGCUGGAGAAGAUAAGGCCUCUUCUUUCAAAGGUGUAACUCUACCAACUUACGUAACCGCAUUGCUUCUCUAUGCUAAAACUGUGCAAUAUCUCUGUUCUAUUCUUUUGCUGGCAAAUCUGUUAUCAAAUGCCAAAUAUUAUUGGGGAUUUUGUAUAUGAAAGAAGGAUGUGUCAAGUAAUUUAUAAGUUCUGCCACUGUCUGAUAGUUGUAGGCAGUGACGCCAAUCUCAUUGUUCCAUAUAUUAUGGGUAUAAGACGUAUACAUGAAGGAUUCUGAUGUAAUCUCUGGAGUAACUGCCAUAAGAUGUAGACUUAAUCAGAGACUUAAUUCCAUAUAGGAUCUCUGGUAUAUGUGGACUUUCUUGUGUUGCUUUGAUGCUCUGACAUCUCUAAAUUGCAGUGAAUGAGAUCAUCAUCAUCAUACUCCAGCUUAACUGGCGCAAAUUUGUUCUUGCGACAUCAUAGUUAUCGACAUAACAGGUAACCCCGUCUUAAAUGAACUUGUACGUUAGUAGUGAACUUCCUGUGUUGUGAUCUUGUGAGGUGGAAACAGGAUAGGUCAUGCUAACAAAAUUUAGGAGGUAUUAAGCACUGUGAUAGGGGAACAAUAGAGAGCAAAAACCUCGCUUAAGUUUCAGACUAUCACCUAUACUCGGGCGGUUCAGUUUACUCGUUUUCCCUUGUAGGGGGAUCCUUAGGUAUCAAUAGCGUGGAUAAGAGUUUUGAUCAUUACUAAAAACCUGAGCUUAUCUAAGUACUAGAUGCCAGUGAGACCAAAUCUUCUCUGUUCACACUUCACAAGCAACUUGUGCAGUUAGAUAGAAGUACAGCUUGCAGUUGCACUGCCUUUAGCUUCUUUGAGUGAUAUUUUAGAUGCGGGACUACAGUUUCUAAGAUAGUUUUUUUCUGAGAUCAAGUAAAAUAAUAAAGAUUUGUUAUGGUAUAACAUUCUGGGGACGUUUGAUAGGAACCAUAAUAGAGUAAACCAUACUAAGUAGAAUCCGGUUUACAUCAUACCAGUUCAAUUACAGAUUUAAUGUAUGGUUUAACUAAACCAUACUCUAUUAAACCACUAAAGGAAGUCAAGAAUAUGUGCUAACAAAACAACAAAAGGUCUUAAUGGUGUUAUGUCCUAAAUGAGUAGGAAACUGCAAUAAUUGAAAUUCUUGAUUUGCCAUUGUCUUGAAGUAUUUAGGCCCACAAAUUUGUAUAAGUUUUUUUUGGAUGGAUUUACUUGUAAUCGUCAACCACCCCUGUCAAAUACCAACUCUUUGUUUGGUUCUUGCUCUGUUUUUUAGUUCACAAAUUAUGUAAACGACAUAUAUACACAUCAACAAAGCUUAUUUUCCUGAUAUUAUAAUUGGGUUGGUCUUGUCCUUAUACUUUGUUGUCUUUGAAGAAAGUUGCAGAGUGAUCAUGCGCUUCAAAAGCAGAUAACUUUUUACAAAAGAAUAUGAAUAGGUUUUGUUGAUUGGCAAUGAUUAUAGAUGAAGAGGUUGGUAACUUCGUCUUCUUAUCUGUUUGGUUAUAUACAACUCUUAGGUCUCUCAAUAAGUUAUUAUUCCUCCCAUGUCUCAUUGUUUUGUUACAGUUGUGUGACUUGUGUAAACAUUUGCUGAUUCCAGUACUUUAUAGGAUCAUAUUAGCAGAUUAACCACUUGAAGUGUAUGCAGUUUAUGGAAAUAAGUAGUGUAUGCAAUUAAUGGAAAGAAGUGGUAAUCUCAUGUAUCGACUAGCUUUUUGACUAAAUCAAAUCUCUAGUAACCUUUGUGUUUAUGGAGACACAAGAAAGCUUAUAUAAAGCUAAAGCUGGCCCCUGUGAGGACAACAGCUCUGGUGAAGAAGACAGGCUUGAGCCUUUUCUUCUUGGAGUGACGAACCAAAGUAUUGAUUUUUUUUCCAUAAAACUACAAAGCUGCAAUAAACGUCACUCUCAAGUCUCAAACCUUAGGUUUGCUUUUGCUUCAUUGGUUCCUUCUUCUCGUUUUUUGUUUUUUCGAGUACAGCUAAUUUAAUUUCCUACAUAAUUUUUCGAACUCGCCUCUCUGUUAACAGCUGUAUCCAAAAUUUAGAUUUAAAUAUUUUAGUUUUCUAAAGAAAAGAAUCCAUGCUCUCUUUAAUUAAGAGCUGACGAAUCCUCCAUAGUCCAUAUCCAAUACCAACCAUGGACACGGUUUCGUUUCGUUUUCAAAGUUUCCAAUGCUUUUUUAGUAAAAUAAGGCACGUAUUUUUGAUGUUCCAAAUUUUCAAUGCGCGAAACUUAUCCUAUAAAUUACUUUGCGUAUUUUAAAAUAGAAGAAAAGAAAAAAGUAUCGGCUUGUACUGGAGGAGGUUGGUGAAUUUUAUAAGACCCUUUGUCCUCUAGCGAUUCUCUACCUAAUCUAGCUUCAAUACAACAUAGCCACUGGCAUUUUAUAUUAAUGCUAGUAAUUGUUAUCUAAUCUUUGUGUGAUGAUUGAUUAGUUUAGAUUAUAUGUUCAUGAAAAUCGGUGUUAAAAUCAGGAUAGGUAUUGGAACAAGAUAUACGUUCUUGGGAUAAACAAUGCAUCCCUUAAUCCCUUUUUAUCUUUUACAGAAUCCAUAAAACAUUGAUAUCAUAACGUGUAAAGUAUAUGUAUGGAAUGAUAAAAGUUUGGCUGCAUACUAGAUGAUUAAUCAAGCUGCGGUCGACAAAUUGGCUUGGUGUUUGGUUCGGUUUGAUUAGAUGUUUGAUUAAUUGGUUAAAUGCUUGGUUAUUUGUUUAGACUUGAUAUUAAGAGAGCAAUAUUUUUUAAAAAAUGCAGUAGUAAAAAAUUGUCAGGUGAGACAAUACCGAAGGAGAAUUUAAGUGUGUAUGUGUGUGUGGAGAAGAGUGAGGUACACGUACCUUUCUCUCUCUUUCUACUCUUUAACCCUGUCCAUGGCAUGGCAAUAUCCCCACCUGGCUUGUCUAUGUGGCUUGGACUAUAUAUUUUCUUUUGCUUUUAACAAAAUUAUUAUUUAUGGUUUUUAGCUUCUCAAGGCUUUGAUAUCAUCCGAGGGUAUGGAUUGGAGAUAAAUGUUAUAGCCAAUUAAAAAGGUUGACACUGAAUUUUAACUGGUACCUUAAUGAGAGUAAGAAAAUAAAACAAACUUAGGUCUAAUAAAUGUAUGGUUGCAUGCGAAACUCCCCCAUCUCAUCAAUGAACAAUCCAGUUGACUUCUUCCAAUCAUCAAGAGGAGCCAGACAUUGCAAGUUUCAACAUACCCACUGCGCUUUAGCAAAUGUAAAAUGGUUUUAGUUUCCUGUCUAAAUCUAAUUCUUUAUUAUGUAGGAUUUACUCUGCAUGCCACUCUUUUUAUCAUACGACUUUGUUUUCAUUACAAAACUUAUUAUAUAAAUAUCUUUGUUCAAAAGCAUAAAAUAUAAAUAUCUAGUUCUGCUGAAAUGACAGCCAAAAAUAAUGUAAUUUUUAAUGGAAUGAAAAUCGUCUUCAUUAACCACAUCUUUUUUAUUUAUUUAUUAUCAUUGUAUAUUGUCUUUGCUCUGUCCUAUAAAAACACUCGACCUCCUCUGUCUCAAAAUUUCAAAACCAUUCCUUGGACUCCACUGUUCUAUCAUCCGCCAUGAAAACUUGUUUGAUCUUCUUCCUCUACACAACAAUUCUCAAUUACUGUUUC
Molecule: long non-coding RNA, 7853 nt
Filed under: Arabidopsis lyrata
Lineage: Eukaryota; Viridiplantae; Streptophyta; Magnoliopsida; Brassicales; Brassicaceae
Description: long non-coding RNA (ALYR_LNC000907)
Source: RNAcentral